This 241-nucleotide non-coding RNA is filed under the name Roseburia sp. RNAcentral describes it as "T-box sequence". It matches the Rfam family "T-box leader". From Rfam's summary of the family: Uncharged tRNA acts as the effector for transcription antitermination of genes in the T-box leader family. Lineage: Bacteria; Bacillati; Bacillota; Clostridia; Lachnospirales; Lachnospiraceae. The record is from RNAcentral.
CGAAAUUCGUUGACGAGAACAGCAUCGUAUCUUAUCGUUAUUUUCAGAGAGCCUGUGGGUGGUGCGAACAGGUAGUAGCCGGAUAUGGAUGAUCCUCUCUAAGAAGCGGGCUGAAAGCAGACAACUGUGAGUAAACUUCGCCGGUUUCCUCCGUUAUGGGAUAGCAUAUGUUGGUAUGUGAAGUGUCACAGAGUUUUUCUGUGGAAUCAGGGUGGUAACGCGGAUUUUAUUCGUCCCUUUC